GGUAGUCCACCCCGUAAACGUUGGGAACUAGUUGUGGGGACCAUUCCACGGUUUCCGUGACGCAGCUAACGCAUUAAGUUCCCCGCCUGGGGAGUACGGCCGCAAGGCUAAAACUCAAAGGAAUUGACGGGGACCCGCACAAGCGGCGGAGCAUGCGGAUUAAUUCGAUGCAACGCGAAGAACCUUACCAAGGCUUGACAUAUACGAGAACGGGCCAGAAAUGGUCAACUCUUUGGACACUCGUAAACAGGUGGUGCAUGGUUGUCGUCAGCUCGUGUCGUGAGAUGUUGGGUUAAGUCCCGCAACGAGCGCAACCCUCGUUCUAUGUUGCCAGCACGUAAUGGUGGGAACUCAUGGGAUACUGCCGGGGUCAACUCGGAGGAAGGUGGGGAUGACGUCAAAUCAUCAUGCCCCUUAUGUCUUGGGCUUCACGCAUGCUACAAUGGCCGGUACAAAGGGCUGCAAUACCGUGAGGUGGAGCGAAUCCCAAAAAGCCGGUCCCAGUUCGGAUUGAGGUCUGCAACUCGACCUCAUGAAGUCGGAGUCGCUAGUAAUCGCAGAUCAGCAACGCUGCGGUGAAUACGUUCCCGGGUCUUGUACACACCGCCCGUCAAGUCAUGAAAGUCGGUAACACCUGAAGCCGGUGGCCCAACCCUUGUGGAGGGAGCCGUCGAAGGUGGGAUCGGUAAUUAGGACUAAGUCGUAACAAGGUAGCCGUAGGGGAACCUGC
RNAcentral lists this ribosomal RNA (730 nucleotides) under uncultured bacterium. Its description in RNAcentral is "bacterial SSU rRNA". It matches the Rfam family "Bacterial small subunit ribosomal RNA", at positions 789 to 1515 of the family's 1533-position model. The record is from RNAcentral.